Pipistrellus kuhlii (Kuhl's pipistrelle) is the source of this 2250-nucleotide long non-coding RNA. RefSeq lists it as uncharacterized. NCBI's taxonomy places the organism in Eukaryota, Metazoa, Chordata, Mammalia, Chiroptera, Vespertilionidae. The transcript has 2 exons. The record is from RefSeq and is a predicted model, not a curated record.
ACACCAAAGAUCUUUGAAAAUCUCACUUGUAUGUGGGCGAUGAGGGCCCCACUCAGUCCAGCUGAGCCUUCUUGUGCUCAGCUGACUGCGUGGUCCUGCGCUCUCCCCAGCCAUUGGACUGUCCAUCCCGCCUGGGACUGGCAUACACUAGGGAUGAGUGGGAUUGGGUGCUGAGCCCCAUCCCAUGAGCACACUAAGAGGUCCUAGCAGCGCCCCACCUCACCCCCUUGGCACCCUCUUCUGCCUCUGAAAGCUACUUAUUGCAGCCCAGGGCAUCAGAUGUGAAGCUGGUGUGGCCAGAAGCAGCCCCCACCCAGGUGUCCUGGACCCUGGCUGGGGUGCUCGCCAGCAGGCAGCUCCAAGGACACCACAUGAACAGUUUCAUGGCCUAUCUUGUACCUGACUCCUUCCCCUGGCUCACAUCUCACACUGUACCAGGGCUUCCCGGGACCAAGUCCCAAAUAAAUGGUGUUCAAACUUUUGUCCCAGGCUCUACUUCCGGGGAAACCCAAACUAGACAUGCUCGUUGGGUUUCUUCUAACCCAGAGGCAUGAGCAGCCAUGCCUGUGGUCGGCCGCAUGGAGGUGGCCAUGAAUGCAAAGCACCGCUGCCCCCCACCUCCCUCGGGAAGCACAUGCGCGUCAAAGCUUGGCUGACAACAGGUACCGUGUGGCCCAGCACAGCAAGGCCUCUCGUGACCACAGCUUCUGCCUGAGGCCAAGCCCAGGCCGCCGUCCCCCAUUCCCCAAUGUCCAGCCAGCUGAAGCCUUCAGACUCUCAAAAGCAGCUGGACAGGCCACACCUCUGCACAGAAAUUACUCUUCACAGUCACAAAGACUGGAAAAUGCCCAAUUCCCUCAUGAUUUAUCUCCUUCCCCCCAAAAAAACUUUCUUGAAACGUGAAGUAGACUUAGAUGGAGAAGGUUGACAAAUACAAAAUUACUGCACAGUUUGGAAUUGGGGCAGAGUUAGAAAAAGUCCAAAUCUAGGUAAGAAUUGGGAUGGGGGACCCGGAGAAGGGGCUGGUUCAUGUGCAGCCUAAACUCAGAAACUACGCCCAGCCCGGCAGAGGGCCCUCUUCCAGCUUGUCCAGCAGGCAACGCUUUACUUCAAAAUGUCCACUGGGUGGCAGUAGAGCUCCUUGUUUCUAGCAGCCACUAAGCCUGGGUAUUCAUGGAGAGUAAAAGGAAGGUGACAAACACCCAGGGACCUGAGCCCCUGUGUGUGUUGUGUGCCAGGGCUUCCUGGGUGUCGUUUUGAGCAAAAGGAGUGGAUAGUCAUGAGAGGUUUUUUAAAAAAAGAGACAGAUGUGUGAUAAAGAUUAUAAAAUGUGACCAGUAGGAUGUAGGUGGUAGGAUGUGGUGGGGUUUUUAUUUUAUUUUUUAGAAGAGUUUUAGAUUUGCAGAGAAACCAAAAAGAUAGUACAGAGUUUCCAUAAACCCAGCCUGUUUCUCCUAUUGUUGACGUCUUAACUUAGUUUGGUACAUUUGUCAUAAUCAAUGGACCCAUGGAGUCUAUACUUUAUUCAGACUUCCUUCGUUUUCCCUAAUGUCCUUUUCUGUUCAAGGACCCCACACGGCAUUGACUCAUCCUGUCCUCAUGGGCUCCUCUCAGGCUUGCCUUGCUUUUGGUGUGUUUGGCAGAUUGCAGAAUCCCCAUUGGCGGGGAUUUGUCUGGUGUUUUUCUCAUGAUCAGAAUGAGACUGGGUUUUGGGAAGAGGACCACACAAAUCACAUGCCGUUGUCACUGUAUCACAUUAAAGGUGCACAGCACCACGGUCCUGGCUGAGGAAGGUGCCACUGUGUGCACCCUACACUCCAGGAUGGCGGGGGACUCCACCUCCUUGACAGCAUCAAUUAUUUGGAAUUUUUUGCACAGGAGAGACCAUUAACAAAGAGCUGGAAACCACUAAGUCUUUCCUUGAGCUUAAAAUAGAGGCUUUUAGAAAAGAAUGCUUCAAAAAGAAAUAUAAACAUUCAGGACAAGCUGUGCUAAUGGCUAGCAUUAAAGAAGAAUCCAGUCUUUUAGAGGAUGCACCAAAACGUAUCUAAUAUCUAGUACCUGCAGCUGGAACAGCCUUCAAAAUACAUCAGAAGGAUUAAAAUUAAAAACACACACACACUUUAGACAGGGCUAACAUAUGCUUUGGAUGAAAACGAUCUUCAUGAGUGUGUGAGCUGCUUUCACAAGAAGCAAAGAAGGGAAAGGGAGAGUGAUGAAAAUAUCAAACAAAAUGAAAUGUUAGAAAAC